Molecule: long non-coding RNA, 1560 nt
Organism: Carassius carassius (crucian carp)
Lineage: Eukaryota; Metazoa; Chordata; Actinopteri; Cypriniformes; Cyprinidae
Exons: 2
Source: RefSeq, a predicted model, not a curated record
GCAAAAAAAGUUAACCAACCCCAAACUUUUUUGUUGUUAUUGAUUAGUUGAGGCUCUCAAGUUUCAUUUUCCAGUUGCACAUAUUCAAAACUUGUGGUUUCUAGACACUUUUGCCAUUCAAUGAUUUAUAAUUAAUAAUGACAUAAAUUUCCAUACGACUUCGGCUCACUUGGACAAGGGUGAAUUAGAUGACAUGAGGUUGAGUAAAUGAACUCAUCUUUAUUUUUGUGUGAUGUAUAUGUUGUUAAGCGCAGAGAUUAUGAUUCACUUAUUUAGCUGGAUAGAUCUUUCUUGAAAAUGACAAUAAUACUAAAGAUAAAAGUGUAACUUAAAAGCUUCAGCACAAAUAACAUAAAUCCUCAUGAAGCGUUGGUCUCCUGUCGGGUUAAAGGUCACGCGAGGUUCACGUUUCCUCCUGACUGACACUUAUUAAGCUAAAUAACAGCAGACGGGUUUUGAGGAAGAUGAUUUAUUAUCCUGAAAGCUAAUUUGUGAAGCCACACACUUGAUUUAAUCUACAGAAUCAUAUUUUAUUGCCUUGUGUGUCGUAUCGUAAUGAAACUGUAUUUUGCUGAACUCUAAAGUAUUUGUAUACUUUUUUUACUCAAAACGUGAAGCACAAUUUGUCCUGAAGCGUUUCGGUAAAAACUUAUUUUCUCUACUCACUAUCCAUGUCAUCCUAUAUUUUAUAACAUUUUGGUGCAACACGACAUUGUAUGUGAGUGGGAUGAAGUCAAGAGGGGUUUUACAAAGACUUUGAGAGGAAAGAUGAGGAGAGGGAGCUAUUGCUUCAAAGUUUUGAGGUUUGGGGCAAAACUCAAGGAGUUCUGUCACUUUUCCAAACAACCAGACUUGGGAAUUUUGCUAAAAAAAUGGGCAAAAAAAUCCCAUAGAUACCGAAGGAGGGACCUGAGCCACAUAGAGAGCAGAAUAUCAUAGAAAUGUGGGUUGUUUACUAAAGCAGUAAGAGACCAGAACACCUUAGACACCAACGCCCUGUCAAUCAUCCAUAACAGUUUAGCAGCAUGGCGGCAAGGUCGAGCACCGUUUGCAUUUGCUUCAGAAACUGAACAAAUGAUACUGUGGUGAUAAAAUAUAUGUGAUAACCCGAAACACAACACAGCACCCGAGCUCUUUCAGUCGAUGUCAAACCUUAAAUGCACUAUUCCUCGUAAAGUAGCUGUUUUUGUAACACUGUGGCACAAUCGAGUAUCAUUUCAUUCCAUUGGUUUUACUUCUGAAAUACUUGUGAUCUGGAGUUCCUCUUUAUUCAGUCAAAUCAAACCCUGUUGUUGACAUUACUCGGCUAAAAUCUGUUAUUUGUGCCUUUUCUGGAUUGGGUUUACUGACGUGAUGAGGAUCUUACAUGUACACUUUGUUCCUGGACCAUGAAUUGAGAUGUCUUUACAUGCUCUGAGCACUGGUCAUAUUCACUGGAACUGGAAGUGUAAGAGGUUUCAUUCAUUCGUUGUUUUACAGUUGUAUUUGAAAGUGCCAACAGACUUGAAUGUGUGAGCUGCGUUUGUCAACAUGAAUAAAGAGAACAUUAACUCUAUCUUA